GACGAACGCUGGCGGCGUGCUUAACACAUGCAAGUCGAACGGAAAGGCCCUGCUUUUGUGGGGUGCUCGAGUGGCGAACGGGUGAGUAACACGUGAGUAACCUGCCCUUGACUUUGGGAUAACUUCAGGAAACUGGGGCUAAUACCGGAUAGGAGCUCCUGCUGCAUGGUGGGGGUUGGAAAGUUUCGGCGGUUGGGGAUGGACUCGCGGCUUAUCAGCUUGUUGGUGGGGUAGUGGCUUACCAAGGCUUUGACGGGUAGCCGGCCUGAGAGGGUGACCGGCCAGAUUGGGAAUGAGAUACGGCACAGACUCCUACGGGAGGCAGCAGUGGGGAAGAUUGCACAAUGGGCGGAAGCCUGAUGCAGCAACGCCGCGUGCGGGAUGACGGCCUUCGGGUUGUAAACCGCUUUCGCCUGUGACGAAGCGUGUGUGACGGUAAUGGGUAAAGAAGCACCGGCUAACUACGUG
RNAcentral lists this ribosomal RNA (468 nucleotides) under uncultured bacterium. RNAcentral describes it as "partial 16S ribosomal RNA". It matches the Rfam family "Bacterial small subunit ribosomal RNA", at positions 28 to 507 of the family's 1533-position model. The record is from RNAcentral.